CCUACGGGUGGCAGCAGUGGGGAAUAUUGGACAAUGGGGGGAACCCUGAUCCAGCCAUGCCGCGUGUGUGAAGAAGGCCCUCGGGUUGUAAAGCACUUUCAGUGAGGAAGAACGCCUGGUGGUUAAUACCCAUCAGGAAAGACAUCACUCACAGAAGAAGCACCGGCUAACUCCGUGCCAGCAGCCGCGGUAAUACGGAGGGGUGCGAGCGUUAAUCGGAAUUACUGGGCGUAAAGCGCGCGUAGGUGGCUUGAUAAGCCGGUUGUGAAAGCCCCGGGCUCAACCUGGGAACGGCAUCCGGAACUGUCAAGCUAGAGUGCAGGAGAGGAAGGUAGAAUUCCCGGUGUAGCGGUGAAAUGCGUAGAGAUCGGGAGGAAUACCAGUGGCGAAGGCGGCCUUCUGGACUGACACUGACACUGAGGUGCGAAAGCGUGGGUAGCAAACAGGAUUAGAUACCCUAGUAGUC
Molecule: ribosomal RNA, 466 nt
Filed under: Vreelandella stevensii
Lineage: Bacteria; Pseudomonadati; Pseudomonadota; Gammaproteobacteria; Oceanospirillales; Halomonadaceae
Description: partial 16S ribosomal RNA
Rfam family: Bacterial small subunit ribosomal RNA
Source: RNAcentral